RNAcentral lists this unclassified non-coding RNA (329 nucleotides) under soil metagenome. RNAcentral's name for it is "partial contains 5.8S ribosomal RNA, internal transcribed spacer 2, and large subunit ribosomal RNA". The stretch from base 1 to 120 matches the Rfam family "5.8S ribosomal RNA", at positions 35 to 154 of the family's 154-position model. The record is from RNAcentral.
GAUGAAGAACGCAGCGAAAUGCGAUAAGUAAUGUGAAUUGCAGAAUUCAGUGAAUCAUCGAAUCUUUGAACGCACAUUGCGCCCUCUGGUAUUCCGGGGGGCAUGCCUGUUCGAGCGUCAUUAUAACCACUCAAGCUCUCGCUUGGUAUUGGGGUUCGCGGUUCCGCGGCCCCUAAAAUCAGUGGCGGUGCCUGUCGGCUCUACGCGUAGUAAUACUCCUCGCGAUUGAGUCCGGUAGGUCUACUUGCCAGCAACCCCCAAUUUUUACAGGUUGACCUCGGUUCAGGUAGGGAUACCCGCUGAACUUAAGCAUAUCAAUAAGCGGAGGA